This 734-nucleotide long non-coding RNA is filed under the name Dromaius novaehollandiae (emu). RNAcentral describes it as "lncRNA (ENSDNVG00000018867.1)". The record is from RNAcentral. Lineage: Eukaryota; Metazoa; Chordata; Aves; Casuariiformes; Dromaiidae.
ACUCGAGACUGUUCCAAGAGAUUUCUAUGAAAAGGCUCCAUAACUAAGUUCUGCCUAAUACAUCAGCUCAGGUGCAUAUUUCUUCCCAGUACUUCAAAGCAAUCUGCUGAACUGGCUGGACUUUCCCUGGAGGGAUAAAGUACAGAUGUUCAGCUGCAACGUGAGCAUCUUGAAGUUCUCUGACAAUUUCCCCUCCACAGGGCAAGCUCCACUUGAAAGCUAUUCUACAUUUCCCUUUCCCUCAGUCGUAGGAGGCGUCUUACAUUUUUGCUGUCCUGAACUGUGCCAAGGAAGCUGAUGCUGAAUUUCCAGAAGCAGAAAUUGAUGAAGUUGAUAUUUCAUUUACAGAGAGACUUUCUGGGUAGUGGAGACCUUAAAAGGCUUCUGUGUCCUUUUUUUGGAAGAUCCUCAUGGAAAAAGGAAGGAUGCCCGAUUAUCACCUGUAGAAACAAAUAGUUUUGAGUCUCCAGAGAACGUGAGGCCAUGCUUUCAGUGAUGUAUUUCAAGUGCUUAGGUUCACUGUACCUGAUCUUGUUCACAAGGAGGAUUGAAGACACCAUGCAAUGUCUGGGACAUCAUCUCUGUUGAUUCUCAGAAGCGCAUUAUAUGGAGCAACUCUUUGCUCACCUUUUUCCACAGUAUCUGAGAAGCUGUUUGAUUGUUCCACGUACUGAGCUGAUAACUGCAGCUUCCAGAGAAAUAAAAGGUGUGUGAAUAGUUCCCUUACUGAAAAC